Molecule: non-coding RNA, 78 nt
Filed under: unclassified sequences
Description: RAGATH-12 RNA
Rfam family: RAGATH-12 RNA
About the family: RNA motif Associated with Genes Associated with Twister and Hammerhead ribozymes (RAGATH).
Source: Rfam by way of RNAcentral
UAGUAGCACUUAUAGGAACUGUCUGGAGUGCACACGAAAGUGUGAAAAAUGCACAUUAUUAAACCCUUGUGCAAGGUA